CAGGCCUAACACAUGCAAGUCGAACGAUGCUUUCGGGCAUAGUGGCGCACGGGUGCGUAACGCGUGGGAAUCUGCCCUUGGGUUCGGAAUAACCGUUGGAAACGACGGCUAAUACCGGAUGAAGUCGAUAAGACCAAAGAUUUAUCGCCUGAGGAUGAGCCCGCGUAGGAUUAGCUAGUUGGUGGGGUAAAGGCCUACCAAGGCGACGAUCCUUAGCUGGUCUGAGAGGAUGAUCAGCCACACUGGGACUGAGACACGGCCCAGACUCCUACGGGAGGCAGCAGUGGGGAAUAUUGGACAAUGGGCGCAAGCCUGAUCCAGCAAUGCCGCGUGAGUGAUGAAGGCCUUAGGGUUGUAAAGCUCUUUUACCCGGGAUGAUAAUGACAGUAUCGGGAGAAUAAGCUCCGUCUAACUCGGUGCCAGCAGCCGCGGUAAU
Molecule: ribosomal RNA, 436 nt
Filed under: uncultured bacterium
Lineage: Bacteria
Description: bacterial SSU rRNA
Rfam family: Bacterial small subunit ribosomal RNA
Source: RNAcentral